RNAcentral lists this ribosomal RNA (482 nucleotides) under uncultured bacterium. RNAcentral's name for it is "partial 16S ribosomal RNA". It matches the Rfam family "Bacterial small subunit ribosomal RNA", at positions 28 to 507 of the family's 1533-position model. The record is from RNAcentral.
AUUGAACGCUGGCGGCAUGCCUUACACAUGCAAGUCGAACGGCAACGGGCGUGCGGGUGCCGACGAGCGGCGGGCGGACGGGUGAUACAUACAUCCGUACCCGUCCGGUGGGGGUAGCGAGGCGGACGCAAUCCUGAUUCCUACUACGAACGACGGACGAAUGAAAGGGGGGGCCCGGCGGUGCGCGGGCGGAGGGGGCGGUGGCUGAUUAGCUAGUUGGUGGGUUAAAGGCAUACCAAGCCGACGAUCUGUAGCUGGUCUGAGAGGAUGAUCAGCCACACUGGGACUGAGACACGGCCCAGACUCCUACGGGAGGCAGCAGUGGGGAAUUUUGGACAAUGGGCGCAAGCCUGAUCCAGCCAUGCCGCGUGCAUGAUGAAGGCCUUCGGGUUGUAAACUGCUUUUGUACGGAACGAAAAGCCUUCUUUUAAUACAGGAGGGUCAUGACGGUACCGGAAGAAUAAGCACCGGCUAACUACGUG